This 429-nucleotide ribosomal RNA is filed under the name Acidobacteriota bacterium. RNAcentral's name for it is "Acidobacteria bacterium partial 16S ribosomal RNA". It matches the Rfam family "Bacterial small subunit ribosomal RNA", at positions 355 to 776 of the family's 1533-position model. The record is from RNAcentral. Lineage: Bacteria; Pseudomonadati; Acidobacteriota.
UGGGGAAUUUUGGACAAUGGGGGAAACCCUGAUCCAGCCAUCCCGCGUGUGCGAUGAAGGCCUUCGGGUUGUAAAGCACUUCUGGCAGGAAAGAAACGUCAUGGGUUAAUACCCCGUGAAACUGACGGUACCUGCAGAAUAAGCACCGGCUAACUACGUGCCAGCAGCCGCGGUUAUUCGUAGGGUGCAAGCGUUAAUCGGAAUUACUGGGCGUAAAGCGUGCGCAGGCGGUUCGGAAAGGAAGAUGUGAAAUCCCAGAGCUCAACUUUGGAACUGCAUUUUUAACUACCGGGGUAGGGUGUGUCAGAGGGGGGUGGAAUUCGGCGUGUAGCAGUGAAAUGCGUAGAUAUGCGGAGGAACACCGAUGGCGAAGGCAGCCUCCUGGGAUAACACUGACGCUGAUGCACGAAAGCGUGGGGAGCAAACAGG